Molecule: ribosomal RNA, 386 nt
Filed under: uncultured prokaryote
Description: bacterial SSU rRNA
Rfam family: Archaeal small subunit ribosomal RNA
Source: RNAcentral
GCGCGAAAACUUUACAAUGCCGGCAACGGCGAUAAGGGGACCUCGAGUGCCAGGUUACAAAUCUGGCUGUCGAGAUGCCUAAAAAGCAUUUCAUAGCAAGGGCCGGGCAAGACCGGUGCCAGCCGCCGCGGUAACACCGGCGGCUCGAGUGGUAACCGUUAUUAUUGGGUCUAAAGGGUCUGUAGCCGGCCGGAUAAGCCUCUUGGGAAAUCUGGCAGCUUAACUGUCAGGCUUUCAGGAGAUACUGUUCGGCUCGAGGCCGGGAGAGGUGAGAGGUACUUCAGGGGUAGGGAUGAAAUCUUGUAAUCCUUGAAGGACCACCAGUGGCGAAGGCGUCUCACCAGAACGGACCUGACGGCAAGGGACGAGAGAUAGGGGCACGAACC